GAACGCUGGCGGCGUGCUUAACACAUGCAAGUCGAACGGAAAGGCCUUUUCGGAGGUGCUCGAGUGGCGAACGGGUGAGUAACACGUGGGUGAUCUGCCCUGCACUCUGGGAUAAGCCUGGGAAACCGGGUCUAAUACCGGAUAGGACCGCACUUUAGUGUGUGUGGUGGAAAGUUUUUUCGGUGUAGGAUGAGCCCGCGGCCUAUCAGCUUGUUGGUGGGGUAAUGGCCUACCAAGGCGGCGACGGGUAGCCGGACUGAGAGGUUGGUCGGCCACAUUGGGACUGAGAUACGGCCCAGACUCCUACGGGAGGCAGCAGUGGGGAAUAUUGCACAAUGGGCGCAAGCCUGAUGCAGCGACGCCGCGUGGGGGAUGACGGCCUUCGGGUUGUAAACUCUUUCGCCAGGGACGAAGCGUUUUGUGACGGUACCUGGAGAAGAAGCACCGGCUAACUACGUGCCAGCAGCCGCGGUAAUACGUAGGGUGCAAGCGUUGUCCGGAAUUACUGGGCGUAAAGAGCUCGUAGGUGGUUUGUCACGUCGUCUGUGAAAUUCCACAGCUUAACUGUGGGCGUGCAGGCGAUACGGGCUGACUUGAGUACUGUAGGGGUAACUGGAAUUCCUGGUGUAGCGGUGAAAUGCGCAGAUAUCAGGAGGAACACCGAUGGCGAAGGCAGGUUACUGGGCAGUUACUGACGCUGAGGAGCGAAAGCAUGGGUAGCAAACAGGAUUAGAUACCCUGGUAGUCCAUGCCGUAAACGGUGGGCGCUAGGUGUAGGGGCCUUUUGGGGUUUCUGUGCCGUAGCUAACGCAUUAAGGCGCCCCGCCUGGGGGAGUACGGCCGCAAGGCUA
This 851-nucleotide ribosomal RNA is filed under the name uncultured bacterium. RNAcentral's name for it is "bacterial SSU rRNA". It matches the Rfam family "Bacterial small subunit ribosomal RNA", at positions 31 to 896 of the family's 1533-position model. The record is from RNAcentral.